This 253-nucleotide ribosomal RNA is filed under the name uncultured bacterium. RNAcentral describes it as "partial 16S ribosomal RNA". It matches the Rfam family "Bacterial small subunit ribosomal RNA", at positions 524 to 776 of the family's 1533-position model. The record is from RNAcentral.
UACGUAGGGUGCAAGCGUUGUCCGGAAUUAUUGGGCGUAAAGAGCUCGUAGGCGGUUCGUCGCGUCGGCUGUGAAAACCUGAGGCUCAACCUCAGGCCUGCAGUCGAUACGGGCGGACUUGAGUACUGCAGGGGAGACUGGAAUUCCUGGUGUAGCGGUGAAAUGCGCAGAUAUCAGGAGGAACACCGGUGGCGAAGGCGGGUCUCUGGGCCGAUAUUGACGCUGAGGAGCGAAAGCGUGGGGAGCAAACAGG